GCUUUAAUCAUUGAUGGGAAGACUCUAACUUAUGCUCUCGAGGAUGAUAUGAAGCUUCAAUUCCUUGGACUCGCUGUUGAUUGUGCAUCGGUCAUUUGCUGUCGAGUCUCCCCCAGGCAGAAGGCACUGGUAACAAGGUUAGUGAAAGAAGGUACUGGGAAAACCACUUUAGCGAUUGGUGAUGGUGCAAACGAUGUAGGAAUGAUUCAGGAG
Molecule: unclassified non-coding RNA, 213 nt
Filed under: Hevea brasiliensis (rubber tree)
Lineage: Eukaryota; Viridiplantae; Streptophyta; Magnoliopsida; Malpighiales; Euphorbiaceae
Source: RNAcentral